UACAGGGGGGGCAAGCGUUGUUCGGAAUUACUGGGCGUAAAGGGCUCGUAGGCGGCCAACUAAGUCCGACGUGAAAUCCCAAAGCUUAACUUUGGAACUGCGUCGGAUACUGGAUGGCUUGAAUUCGGGAGAGGGAUGCAGAAUUCCAGGUGUAGCGGUGGAAUGCGUAGAGAUCCGGAAGAACACCGGAGGCGAAGGCGGCUUGCUGGGCGUAGUCUGACGCUGAGGCGCGAAAGCGUGGGGAGCGAACAGG
This 253-nucleotide ribosomal RNA is filed under the name uncultured bacterium. RNAcentral's name for it is "partial 16S ribosomal RNA". It matches the Rfam family "Bacterial small subunit ribosomal RNA", at positions 524 to 776 of the family's 1533-position model. The record is from RNAcentral.